AGUUGUGGUGGUUUUCUUUCUGGCACAUUUGUUAAGUUUUCAAAUGGGCCUGACUCUGCCACAUAUAUUCUAUAGGAGCUGGGAAAGGCUUGAUGACAAAGAGAUUUAUUUCUCUCUAGCCUUUCCCGCAUCAGAGAUUGGCUCCCACAUGG
RNAcentral lists this small nucleolar RNA (152 nucleotides) under Myotis brandtii (Brandt's bat). RNAcentral describes it as "Small nucleolar RNA SNORA12". It matches the Rfam family "Small nucleolar RNA SNORA12". Rfam says of the family: U108 belongs to the H/ACA family of snoRNAs. The sequence is predicted to guide the pseudouridylation of the U372 residue in the 28S rRNA subunit. However it has not been reported as a pseudouridylation site. Lineage: Eukaryota; Metazoa; Chordata; Mammalia; Chiroptera; Vespertilionidae. The record is from Rfam by way of RNAcentral.